This 492-nucleotide ribosomal RNA is filed under the name uncultured bacterium. Its description in RNAcentral is "partial 16S ribosomal RNA". It matches the Rfam family "Bacterial small subunit ribosomal RNA", at positions 29 to 507 of the family's 1533-position model. The record is from RNAcentral.
AGUGAACGCUGGCGGCAUGCCUAACACAUGCAAGUCGAACGGCAGGACAGUAAGCUCUUGCCCUUACCGGUGGCGAGUGGCGGACGGGUGAGGAAUACAUCGGAAUCUUCUUUUUCUUGGGGGAUUACGUAGAACAACUGACACUAAUAGCGCAUAUGUCCUACGGGUGAAAGCAGUAGAUCUUCGCACUUUGCGCGUUACAAUUAGCCGGUGUCGGAUUAGCUAGUUGGCUGGGUAAAGGCCCACCAAGGCAACGAUCCGUAGCUGGUCUGAGAGGAUGAUCGGCCACACUGGAACUGAGACACGGUCCAGACUCCUACGGGAGGCAGCAGUAGGGAAUAUUGCGCAAUGGGCGAAAGCCUGACGGAGCAACACCGCGUGAGUGAUGAAGGUCUUCGGAUCGUAAAGCUCUUUUAUUAGGGAAGAAAAACAGCGGAAGAAACCAUCGACGUCUUGACGGUACCUAAUGAGUAAGCAACGGCUAACUACGUG